GCACCCGCGGUAAUUCCAGCUCCAAUAGCGUAUAUUAAAGUUGUUGCAGUUAAAAAGCUCGUAGUUGGAUUUCUGGGAGGGUGCCGAUGUCCACUUAACGUGUGCGCAGCGGCGCCCUCUCAUCCUUCUGUUAGCGUCUCUUGGCAUUCAUUUGCUGGUGGCGGGCUCAGAUAUUUUACCUUGAGAAAAUUAGAGUGUUUCAGGCAGGCUAGGCCGGAAUACAUUAGCAUGGAAUAAUGGGAUAGGACUACGGUCUCUUUGUUGGUUUGAGGGACUGCAGUAAUGAUUAAUAGGGAUAGUUGGGGGCAUUAGUACUUAACUGUCAG
This 326-nucleotide ribosomal RNA is filed under the name uncultured eukaryote. Its description in RNAcentral is "SSU rRNA". It matches the Rfam family "Eukaryotic small subunit ribosomal RNA", at positions 570 to 908 of the family's 1831-position model. The record is from RNAcentral.